Molecule: ribosomal RNA, 498 nt
Filed under: uncultured bacterium
Lineage: Bacteria
Description: partial 16S ribosomal RNA
Rfam family: Bacterial small subunit ribosomal RNA
Source: RNAcentral
GACGAACGCUGGCGGCGUGCCUAACACAUGCAAGUCGAGCGGAGAUGAUGUGAGGAAGUUUUCGGAUGGAAUCACAUUAUUUUAGCGACGGACGGGUGAGUAACGCGUGAGCGACCAACCUUGCACAGGGGGAUAACGGACCGAAAGGUUCACUAAUACCGCAUGAGACCACGGUGUUGCAUGACACAGGGGUCAAAGGAGGAAUCCGGUGCAAGACGGGCUCGCGUCCGAUUAGGUAGUUGGAGGGGUAACGGCCCACCAAGCCUAUGAUCGGUAGCCGACCUGAGAGGGUGAUCGGCCACAUUGGAACUGAGAUACGGUCCAAACUCCUACGGGAGGCAGCAGUGGGGAAUAUUGGGCAAUGGGGGAAACCCUGACCCAGCAACGCCGCGUGAAGGAAGAAGGUUUUCGGAUUGUAAACUUCUGUCCUUGGUGAAGAGAAGAAGACGGUAGCCAAGGAGGAAGCCCCGGCUAACUACGUGCCAGCCGCCGCCGAAA